Molecule: ribosomal RNA, 465 nt
Filed under: Vreelandella stevensii
Lineage: Bacteria; Pseudomonadati; Pseudomonadota; Gammaproteobacteria; Oceanospirillales; Halomonadaceae
Description: partial 16S ribosomal RNA
Rfam family: Bacterial small subunit ribosomal RNA
Source: RNAcentral
CCUACGGGUGGCAGCAGUGGGGAAUAUUGGACAAUGGGGGGAACCCUGAUCCAGCCAUGCCGCGUGUGUGAAGAAGGCCCUCGGGUUGUAAAGCACUUUCAGUGAGGAAGAACGCCUGGUGGUUAAUACCCAUCAGGAAAGACAUCACUCACAGAAGAAGCACCGGCUAACUCCGUGCCAGCAGCCGCGGUAAUACGGAGGGUGCGAGCGUUAAUCGGAAUUACUGGGCGUAAAGCGCGCGUAGGUGGCUUGAUAAGCCGGUUGUGAAAGCCCCGGGCUCAACCUGGGAACGGCAUCCGGAACUGUCAAGCUAGAGUGCAGGAGAGGAAGGUAGAAUUCCCGGUGUAGCGGUGAAAUGCGUAGAGAUCCGGAGGAAUACCAGUGGCGAAGGCGGCCUUCUGGACUGACACUGACACUGAGGUGCGAAAGCGUGGGGAGCAAACAGGAUUAGAUACCCCAGUAGUC